CAUGCACGACAUCUCCGUCCUACUACAGCGGAAAAACCGCAGUAACUCCUCAUCGGUCAGAAAAUCCAACGGGUCCAUUGGCGCAGAUGCAACUGCAACUCUUCAAUACAGUUUUCUUUGUCGAAACAAAAUCCAAUAUUUACCAGGCCCCGGGCGGAUUGAUUCAUUCAGACGAAUGCACAUACCGAUAGACGCGCGUUCGGAAGAAGGACGUAGAGGACGUAAUGAAAACGUUUUCAACUGAAGGACAUUUAACUUCACCAGACUUUAAAAGAAGAAAAAGUGCACAGGCCAAGAGAGCACGCUUUCCCUUCAACCAAUCAGCGGGCUCAAUUACAGAAUCUGAGGAGGAUGAUGAGGAGGAAGAGGAGGGAGAAGAAGCUGAGCAGGAAAGAGAAGAAGAGAGAAGAGAUCAGGCAAACACUGCUGGAGAGAGCAGUACAGGAGGCAGCCAUUGUGGUGUGAAGAAGUCUGUUUUCAAAGUCACCUGUGGAGCCAUCAAUGGAAUGCUACAUAAGGAUCGGUUUGCAUCAGGGUCAUGUGGAAAGAGCAUCCGUACGGAGCUGCGCUGGAUGACCCCGGUGGAGUUUGUGAAGGGGGAGUCAGCUCUGGAAGAUCCCUCCUGGAAGAACGACAUCCAGUGGGACGGGAAACCACUCAGCCUCCUCAUCAAGCAUGAUCAGGAUAACGAUGACGACUGCUUCAUCUGUAGAAGCCAGGGUAGCUUGAUAUGCUGUGAUGAGUGUCCUCGCUCCUUCCAUCAGAGAUGUCAUCUUCCUAUUGUAGAUGACGCUAUGCUGGGGUGAGAAGAGUUGAGGGUUGAUGAGAGACAGUGUGAGAGAAAGAGAUUGAUACAAGAGAGGUAUGUUUGUUCUGUGUUGGUAAACUUAGCUGUCAGAUUAUUUGUGCACUAUUGAAAUGUUGUGUGUGUGUGUAAAUAAUCACAGGGAUGAUCGUCCGUGGUUGUGUACAUUCUGUGUACUGAGGGCCAGUCAGUCGUGGCACUACCCCAAACAAAUGACCUACCAGGAAGCCUUGACCUGCCGAAUCUCUGACCACCCACUGGAAUGCCAGUACCUCCUGCUGUGUCUCUACCAUGCAGAUGACGACCACA
Molecule: RNA transcript, 1114 nt
Organism: Oncorhynchus keta (chum salmon)
Lineage: Eukaryota; Metazoa; Chordata; Actinopteri; Salmoniformes; Salmonidae
Gene name: nuclear body protein SP140-like protein
Exons: 8
Source: RefSeq, a predicted model, not a curated record